AAAAUUCUAUGUGAAAAAUUAUACAUAUAAAUAAAUUUUUUAUGGUUUAAAAAAUUUAUUUUGAAUUUAUUUUACAUAUAAAUUUUAGUGUUAAAUAUUAAUUAUUUUAAUAAUAAUUAUUUUUAACGUAGUAAUUAAUUUUAAAAAUUUAAGAAAUUAAGAUUUAGUAAUAUUUAAAUUAAUAACUAAUUUUGUGCCAGCAGUUGCGGUUAUACAAAAAUUAAUUUAAAUUUUUUUAGUGAUAAUAAUUAAUUUAUUUUAAUAAUUUAAAUUUUAAUUUAUUAAGUGAAAUUUUAAUUUAAUAAAAAAUUAUUUAAAAAUUAUGAUUUAAUAAAUUUUAUUAAAAACUAGGAUUAGAUACCCUAUUAUUAAGAAUUUAAAUUUUAUAAGACUAAAAUAGUAAGUAUUUUAUUGAAACUUAAAUAAUUUGGCGGUAUUUUAGUUUAUUUAGAGGAAUCUGUUUAAUAAUUGAUAAUCCACGAAUAAAUUUACUUAAUUUAUUAUUUUAUAUAUCGUUGUUAAAAAAAUAUUUUAGAAUAAUAAUAAUAUUUAAAAAUUUAAAAAUAAAAUUAAAUCAGAUCAAGAUGUAGAUUAUAAUUAAGAAUAUAAUGGAUUACAAUAAAUUUAUUUAAAUUGGAUUUUAAUAUGGAAAAGAUUAAAUGAAAUUGGAUUUAAAUGUAAUUUUAUUUAAAUUAAUAAAAUGAUUAUUAAUUAAAAUAUGUACAUAUUGCCCGUCGCUUUCAUUUAUAAAUUGGAAUAAGUCGUAACAAAGUAGAGGUACUGGAAAGUGUUUCUAGAAAGAU
RNAcentral lists this non-coding RNA (803 nucleotides) under Macroglossum bombylans. Lineage: Eukaryota; Metazoa; Arthropoda; Insecta; Lepidoptera; Sphingidae. The record is from RNAcentral.